Molecule: ribosomal RNA, 464 nt
Filed under: uncultured bacterium
Lineage: Bacteria
Description: partial 16S ribosomal RNA
Rfam family: Bacterial small subunit ribosomal RNA
Source: RNAcentral
CCUACGGGUGGCAGCAGUGGGGAAUCUUCCGCAAUGGGCGAAAGCCUGACGGAGCAACGCCGCGUGAUCGAAUGAAGGCCUUCGGUUUGUAAAGAUCUGUUGACAGGGACGAAUAAGGAAUGUGACUAGUUUUGAGUCUGACGGUACCUGUUUAGAAAGCUCCGGCUAACUACGUGCCAGCAGCCCCGGUAACACGUAGGGAGCAAGUGUUGUCCGGAAUUACUGGGCGUAAAGGGCGCGUAGGGGGGUGCUGAAGUCAGGUGUGAAAACUCCGGGUUUAACCGGGAGACUGCACUUGAAACUGGGUGUCUUGAGUGCAGGAGAGGAAAGUGGAAUUCCUAGUGUAGCGGUGAAAUGCGUAGAUAUUAGGAGGAACACCAGUGGCGAAGGCGACUUUCUGGACUGUACCUGACGGUGAGGCGCGAAAGCGUGGGUAGCGAACGGGAUUAGAUACCCUGGUAGUC